Molecule: small RNA, 77 nt
Filed under: Staphylococcus lugdunensis
Lineage: Bacteria; Bacillati; Bacillota; Bacilli; Caryophanales; Staphylococcaceae
Source: RNAcentral
CUACAUACAACCGCUCAAAUAUGGGUUUAAGUACUAUUCAAUUUGCAAUAGUCACCUAUGUAUGGCGUGACUUAUAA